UGGGGUUUCAAAGCGGCAUUUGC
Molecule: microRNA, 23 nt
Filed under: Blattella germanica (German cockroach)
Lineage: Eukaryota; Metazoa; Arthropoda; Insecta; Blattodea; Blattellidae
Description: Bge-Mir-193-P2_5p* (star (passenger))
Source: RNAcentral